Molecule: ribosomal RNA, 467 nt
Filed under: uncultured bacterium
Lineage: Bacteria
Description: partial 16S ribosomal RNA
Rfam family: Bacterial small subunit ribosomal RNA
Source: RNAcentral
ACGCACGCUGGCGGCGUGUUUAACACCUGCAAGUCGCACGGAAAGGCCCUGCUUUUGUGGGGUGCUCGAGUGGCGAACGGGUGAGUAACACGUGAGUAACCUGCCCUUGACUUUGGGAUAACUUCAGGAAACUGGGGCUAAUACCGGAUAGGAGCUCCUGCUGCAUGGUGGGGGUUGGAAAGUUUCGGCGGUUGGGGAUGGACUCGCGGCUUAUCAGCUUGUUGGUGGGGUAGUGGCUUACCAAGGCUUUGACGGGUAGCCGGCCUGAGAGGGUGACCGGCCACAUUGGGACUGAGAUACGGCCCAGACUCCUACGGGAGGCAGCAGUGGGGAAUAUUGCACAAUGGGCGGAAGCCUGAUGCAGCAACGCCGCGUGCGGGAUGACGGCCUUCGGGUUGUAAACCGCUUUCGCCUGUGACGAAGCGUGAGUGACGGUAAUGGGUAAAGAAGCACCGGCUAACUACGUG